Molecule: non-coding RNA, 45 nt
Filed under: Schistosoma mansoni
Lineage: Eukaryota; Metazoa; Platyhelminthes; Trematoda; Strigeidida; Schistosomatidae
Source: RNAcentral
AUCCAGGUGAAGAGUCCCGAAUAGGACGAAACGCGCGUCUCAGAU